This is a non-coding RNA of Camelina sativa (false flax), 415 nucleotides long. Lineage: Eukaryota; Viridiplantae; Streptophyta; Magnoliopsida; Brassicales; Brassicaceae. The record is from RefSeq and is a predicted model, not a curated record.
CAGAGCGUCCAGGACGAGUACGUUGUGUUGGUCGUGGACCCACACCUUCAAAAUUAGGAAAACGCUCAAAUGUGGCUAGAGCAGAUGUAGAAAAUUCUGAAAUGGUUGUUCAGCUGAAGGGAAAAGUGGAAGAGUUAGGAACUCAGGUAAAGGCAAUGAGUACGUUCAUCCAACAAAUACUUGAUACUUCAACCGGUGAACAGGCAACUGUAUGGGCCACAGCUUUUGCUAACAUACCUAAUCCAGCAUUGCUAAACAUAUCAAAUGUACCUAAUCCCCAGGAAGAUGAUGAUGGUCUUGAUAGACGAUAGUGAUCAUAGUCAACACAGAAGUUUAUCCAAAUUUCUUAGCAACUUUGGUUUAUUUUGUUUUUAUGCAUUUGGAAAACUUAUUAGGAUGAUUUCUGUAAUUUGCU